RNAcentral lists this ribosomal RNA (424 nucleotides) under uncultured cyanobacterium. Its description in RNAcentral is "bacterial SSU rRNA". It matches the Rfam family "Bacterial small subunit ribosomal RNA", at positions 356 to 796 of the family's 1533-position model. Lineage: Bacteria; Bacillati; Cyanobacteriota. The record is from RNAcentral.
GGGGAAUUUUCCGCAAUGGGCGAAAGCCUGACGGAGCAAUACCGCGUGAGGGAGGAAGGCUCUUGGGUUGUAAACCUCUUUUCUCAGGGAAUAAGAACUGAAGGUACCUGAGGAAUCAGCAUCGGCUAACUCCGUGCCAGCAGCCGCGGUAAUACGGAGGAUGCAAGCGUUAUCCGGAAUGAUUGGGCGUAAAGCGUCCGCAGGUGGUUUAUCAAGUCUGCUGUCAAAGAGUUUGGCUCAACCAAAUAAAGGCAGUGGAAACUGACAGACUGGAGUGCGGUAAGGGCAGAGGGAAUUCCUGGUGUAGCGGUGAAAUGCGUAGAGAUCAGGAAGAACACCGGUGGCGAAAGCGCUCUGCUGGGCCGUAACUGACACUGAGGGACGAAAGCUAGGGGAGCGAAUGGGAUUAGAUACCCCAUAGUCA